Molecule: non-coding RNA, 135 nt
Organism: Triticum aestivum (bread wheat)
Lineage: Eukaryota; Viridiplantae; Streptophyta; Magnoliopsida; Poales; Poaceae
Source: Rfam
AUGGUACUCCCUCCGUCCCAAAAUUCUUGUCUUACAUUCGUCUAGAUACGGAUGUAUCUAAUACUAAAACGUGACUUGAUACAUCCAUAUUUAGACAAAUCGAAGACAAGAAUUUUGGGACCGAGGGAGUAUUAA